RNAcentral lists this ribosomal RNA (417 nucleotides) under Amynthas robustus. RNAcentral describes it as "partial 12S ribosomal RNA". Lineage: Eukaryota; Metazoa; Annelida; Clitellata; Crassiclitellata; Megascolecidae. The record is from RNAcentral.
AUUAGAUACCCGUCUAUUCACGACAUAAACAAAAGUUGAAUAUUACGAACAAUAGUUUAAAAUUCAAAGAUUUUGGCGGUGUCUUAUAAAACCAGGGGAACCUGUCUCAUAACUCGAUAAUCCACGAAUAUACAACCUUCUCUCGAUUUACAGCAUGUGUACUGCCGUUGUAAGCAUACCUCUAAAAGAAAAGUAUGCCGCUAUGACUAAAUAAACUCAUAUACAUCAGGUCAAAGUGCAGCCAAUAAGAAGGUGAUGAUGGGUUACAACCCCAAAAUAGACUAUCAACUAAGAAAUAAAAAAUCUUACGAAAGUGGACUUGGCCGUAAUCAAUUUACAAGUUAAAAAAAUGAAUAAGAACCUAAGACAUGCACACAUCGCCCGUCACUCUAUCCUAAAGGUUAGAUAAGUCGUAAC